RNAcentral lists this ribosomal RNA (237 nucleotides) under uncultured bacterium. RNAcentral describes it as "partial 16S ribosomal RNA". It matches the Rfam family "Bacterial small subunit ribosomal RNA", at positions 100 to 334 of the family's 1533-position model. The record is from RNAcentral.
CCGGCACGGGUGAGUAACACGUAUGCAAUCCACCUGUAACAGGGGAUAACCGAGAAAUCCGGACUAAUACCCAUAAUAUGGGCGCUCCGCAUGGAGAGCCCAUUAAAGAGAGCAAUUUUGGUUACAGACGAGCAUGCGCUCCAUUAGCCAGUUGGCGGGGUAACGGCCCACCAAAGCGACGAUGGAUAGGGGUUCUGAGAGGAAGGUCCCCCACAUUGGAACUGAGACACGGUCCAA